Molecule: ribosomal RNA, 2839 nt
Organism: Eubacteriaceae bacterium CHKCI005
Lineage: Bacteria; Bacillati; Bacillota; Clostridia; Eubacteriales; Eubacteriaceae
Rfam family: Bacterial large subunit ribosomal RNA
Source: Rfam
GGUCAAGCUACAAAGAGCGCAGGGAGGAUGCCUUGGCACCAGGAGCCGAAGAAGGACGCAGCUAACUGCGAAAAGCCUCGGGGAGUCGUAAGCAGACAUUGAUCCGGGGAUAUCCGAAUGGGGCAACCCGGCUGGGUUCAUACCCAGUCACCGUAUACUGAAUCCAUAGGUAUACGGAGGGAACCGCCUGAACUGAAACAUCUAAGUAGGGCGAGGAAGAGAAAUCAACCGAGAUUCCGCAAGUAGUGGCGAGCGAACGCGGAAGAGGCCAAACCAGAGGUAGCAAUACUUCUGGGGUUUGGACGGCAACAAGUAUGGUGGAGUCUAGUGGAAUGGUCUGGGAAGGCCAACCAGAGAGGGUGAGAGUCCCGUAGACGAAAGACGAAAUCAGCUAGCCGUAUCCAGAGUACCGCCGGACACGUGAAACCCGGUGGGAAGACGGGGGGACCACCCUCCAAGCCUAAAUACUACCUGGUGACCGAUAGUGUAUAGUACUGUGAAGGAAAGGUGAAAAGCACCCCGGGAGGGGAGUGAAAUAGAACCUGAAACCCUGUGCUUACAAGCACUGAGAGCCCGUCAAUGGGUGAUCAGGUACCUUUUGUAGAAUGGUCCGGCGAGUGAGUGUAACUAGCAAGGUUAAGGACUUCAGGUCUGGAGCCGCAGCGAGAGCGAGUCUGAAUAGGGCGCAUGAAGUUAGUUGCAUUCGACCCGAAACCGGGUGACCUACGCAUGAUCAGGGUGAAGUGGAGGUAAAACUCCAUGGAGGCCCGAACGCACGUCCGUUGAAAAGGCCGGCGAUGAAUUGUGUGUAGCGGAGAAAUUCCAAUCGAACCCGGAGAUAGCUGGUUCUCCUCGAAAUAGCUUUAGGGCUAGCCUCAUAUUGAGAUUACUGGAGGUAAAGCACUGAAUGGGCUAGGGGCCGAGAGGUUACUGAACCCUAUCAAACUAAGAAUGCCAGAUAAUCAUAUAUGGGAGUCAGACAGUGUGAGAUAAGUUUCAUUGUCAAAAGGGAAAGAGCCCAGACCCACAGCUAAGGUCCCAAAAUUGGUUUAAGUGGAAAAGGAUGUGGGGUUGCGUAGACAACUAGGAUGUUGGCUUAGAAGCAGCCACUCAUUAAAAGAGUGCGUAAUAGCUCACUAGUCGAGUGACCCUGCGCCGAAAAUUUAACGGGGCUAAAAUCAAUACCGAAGCUUGGGAUUGAUACGUAAGUAUCAGUGGUAGAGGAGCGUUGUGUAAGGGGUGAAGUCAGAGCGGAAGCGCUGGUGGACUUUACACAAGAGAGAAUGCCGGAAUGAGUAGCGAGAAAUAUGUGAGAAUCAUAUUGGCCGAAAGCCUAAGGUUUCUGGAGGAAGGUUCGUCCGCUCCAGGUUAGCCGGGAGCUAAGGUGAGGCCGAAAGGCGUAGCCGAUGCACAUACGGUGGAUAUUCCGUAGCCGCCAAAAGAUUUAAGUAUGGGGACACUCUUGAAGUUCAUGACCCGGGCGAUGGUUGCCCCGGGCGUAAGGGACCGAAAUACAGUAGGGAAGCAUGGAUGGAUGGAGGCGAGAAAAGCCAUAUGGAUAUCUUAGGCGCCCGUACCGCAAACCGACACAGGUAGGCAGGAAGAGGAUUCUAAGGCCAACGGGAGAAAGGUUGUUAAGGAACUCGGCAAAUUGACCCCGUAACUUAGGGAUAAGGGGUGCCCGUGUAACAGCGGGCCGCAGAGAAUAGGCCCAGGCGACUGUUUAGCAAAAACACAGGUCUCUGCCAAAUCGAAAGAUGAAGUAUAGGGGCUGACACCUGCCCGGUGCUGGAAGGUUAAGAGGAGGAGUGCAAGCUCUGAAUUGAAGCCCCAGUAAACGGCGGCCGUAACUAUAACGGUCCUAAGGUAGCGAAAUUCCUUGUCGGGUAAGUUCCGACCCGCACGAAUGGUGUAACGAUCUGGGCGCUGUCUCAACAACCUGCCCGGCGAAAUUGUAGUACCGGUGAAGAUGCCGGUUACCUGCGACAAGACGGGAAGACCCCAUGGAGCUUCACUGUAGCCUGAUAUUGGGUUUCGGUAUUUUAUGUACAGGAUAGGCGGGAGGCUUGGAAACCAGGGCGCCAGCUCUGGCGGAGCCAACCUUGGGAUACCGCUCUUAAAGUGCUGGAAUUCUAACCUGCGGCCGUGAAUCCGGCCGGGGGACAUUGUCAGGUGGGCAGUUUGACUGGGGCGGUCGCCUCCAAAAGAGUAACGGAGGCGCUCAAAGGUUCGCUCAGCACGGAUGGAAACCGUGCCCCUGAGUGUAAACGCAUAAGCGAGCCUAACUGCGAGGCUGACGGGCCGAGCAGUAACGAAAGUUGGAGUUAGUGAUCCGGCGGUAUGUGAGUGGAAAUGCCGUCGCUCAACGGAUAAAAGCUACCCUGGGGAUAACAGGCUGAUCUCCCCCAAGAGUCCACAUCGACGGGGAGGUUUGGCACCUCGAUGUCGGCUCAUCACAUCCUGGGGCUGAAUUCGGUCCCAAGGGUUCGGCUGUUCGCCGAUUAAAGUGGUACGCGAGCUGGGUUCAGAACGUCGUGAGACAGUUCGGUCCCUAUCUGUCGUGGGCGCAGGAUAUUUGAAGAGCUCUGUCCUUAGUACGAGAGGACCGGGAUGGACGAACCUCUGGUGCACCAGUUGUCACGCCAGUGGCACAGCUGGGCAGCUAUGUUCGGAUCGGAUAAACGCUGAAAGCAUCUAAGCGUGAAGCCGGCUCUAAGAUAAGAUAUCCCACAGCAUAAGCUGGUAAGGACCCUUGAAGACUACAAGGUUGAUAGGCUGCAUGUGUAAGCGUGGUAACACGUUCAGCUUGGCAGUACUAAUCGUCCGAGGGCUUGACCUA